This 71-nucleotide transfer RNA is filed under the name Scincella vandenburghi (Tsushima smooth skink). Its description in RNAcentral is "tRNA-Ser". It matches the Rfam family "tRNA". From Rfam's summary of the family: Transfer RNA (tRNA) molecules are approximately 80 nucleotides in length. Their secondary structure includes four short double-helical elements and three loops (D, anti-codon, and T loops). The record is from RNAcentral. RNAcentral also lists the same sequence under 1 other name. Lineage: Eukaryota; Metazoa; Chordata; Lepidosauria; Squamata; Scincidae.
GAGAAAGAAGCAUUUUGGCUAUGUUACUAGUUUGAAACUAGUAGAAGGUGGUUCAAUUCCCCCCUUUCUUG